Molecule: ribosomal RNA, 301 nt
Filed under: uncultured bacterium
Lineage: Bacteria
Description: partial 16S ribosomal RNA
Rfam family: Bacterial small subunit ribosomal RNA
Source: RNAcentral
CAGCAGCCGCGGGAAUACGAAGGGGGCUAGCGUUGUUCGGAAUUACUGGGCGUAAAGCGCGCGUAGGCGGUUACUCAAGUCAGAGGUGAAAGCCCGGGGCUCAACCCCGGAACUGCCUUUGAUACUGGGUAUCUCGAGUCCGGAAGAGGUGAGUGGAAUUCCGAGUGUAGAGGUGAAAUUCGUAGAUAUUCGGAAGAACACCAGUGGCGAAGGUGACUGACUGGACAAGUAUUGACGCUGAGGUGCGAAAGCGUGGGGAGCAAACAGGAUUAGAUACCCGAGUAGUCCCUGUCUCUUAUAA